GCCACUGAUGUGCAUUUCUAGCUUCAGAACCCAUGACUUUUUAUGAUUCUUCAGUGUGAUCCCCACAAUGGCCUCGGGGACCUAUACCAAGACCAUUCUCACGAUGUGACUUCUGUAAACCAUAAAGCAGCCACUGUGUUUUACAAUCUGCUUCCUUUCGUCCUCCCUUCUCCCUUCAGAGAGCCACUUUAGCACCACGACUAGAAGGACAGGAACAACCAGAGCCUCAUCAAAUCCAGCACACCACUACUACAACGAGAAGGCCAGGAACAACUAGAGCACCGUCAAAUCCUAUGGAACUUGAUGGGUUUGACUUGGAAGAUGCCUUGUAUGAUCAGAAAAAAAGCCAAGUACAGGAGAAGGAGGAGG
Molecule: long non-coding RNA, 369 nt
Filed under: Rattus norvegicus (Norway rat)
Lineage: Eukaryota; Metazoa; Chordata; Mammalia; Rodentia; Muridae
Description: long non-coding RNA NONRATT028134
Source: RNAcentral